Molecule: ribosomal RNA, 255 nt
Filed under: uncultured bacterium
Lineage: Bacteria
Description: partial 16S ribosomal RNA
Rfam family: Bacterial small subunit ribosomal RNA
Source: RNAcentral
CAAACUGGAGAUGGCGACCGGCGCACGGGUAAGUAACACGUAUCCAACCUGCCGAUAACUCGGGGAUAGCCUUUCGAAAGAAAGAUUAAUACCCGAUGGCAUAAUAGAACCGCAUGGUUUGAUUAUUAAAGAAUUUCGGUUAUCGAUGGGGAUGCGUUCCAUUAGGCAGUUGGUGGGGUAACGGCCCACCAAACCUUCGAUGGAUAGGGGUUCUGAGAGGAAGGUCCCCCACAUUGGAACUGAGACACGGUCCAA